Long non-coding RNA from Diospyros lotus (date-plum), 625 nucleotides. RefSeq lists it as uncharacterized. The transcript has 3 exons. NCBI's taxonomy places the organism in Eukaryota, Viridiplantae, Streptophyta, Magnoliopsida, Ericales, Ebenaceae. The record is from RefSeq and is a predicted model, not a curated record.
UUGGAUAUUCCUUCGCAAUCUUAAGCUUCUGAUAAUAAAGUUUUUCCUUAGUUUUGGUCAAAUGUUCUUUUCGAUUUGCUUAAUGCUCCAAACUCUUCAAAACUGUCCUCAGAGAUUCCUUAGUAAUAUCAAGCUUUUGAUGAUAUGUUUUUUUUUCCUUUGUUUCGGGAUAGGUAAUGAAAUGUGCACAUUUCAGUUACCACCUGAUGGAUCUACUGCAGGCUUGGACAACUAGGAUCAGGGUGUCUCUCAGUUGGCUCAAGGGCAGAUCUGGAUGGCGACUUUGUUCUGGAUUCUUCCACUGGUGGGGAGAACGAGGAUUUAACAUUUGAAGAAUUUCAUCAUGAUAUUUAGGAGAGGAAAAGGUGGCAAAGGAGAAGCUCUUGCUGCUGACAUCUGAGUGGCACAGAAAGUGGAAAUAAACCCCUCUUCAAAAUCGACAAUUCGAUUAAACUAAACCGGUCCUCUUCCAAACAGGGAGUAGUUCUCUGCUUCGAUGAGGAAGAAGCUCGGAUUGGAAAGUUGAAGCAUAUUUGGAAAUGUUUUUCUUGUUUCCUUAAUGUAAUCUGUUUGGGGAUUUGACUGAAAAGAACAAUACAAAGUUUCUACUACAUUUUCACUGCCC